AAAUGGCUUUAGGAGUGUUUUUUGACAAAGAGGAGGCUAGGAUAUCUUUGGUAAUAGAGUCUUUUAGAAUGCCCCAUGAUUAUUUCAGAUAUAUACCUGAGAUUAUCUAUAAAAAUCAACUUAUUUGAAUCUUCGUUCCGUUGGUAUCUUUAGAUUGAUUUGGUUUGCCUAAGUUCGAUUUUGCUUAAUUUCUUUUCGAUUGUUAUUAGUUUGUAAUCAUUUUAUUUCUCCACACACACAAAGUCCUUUUUCACAAGACUUUUCAUUUUCAUUUUUUCAUUUUUUCUUUUUUUGUGCUGGGAAGACUUUUCCAAGUUCAUAAUUUGGAAUACUGAGAUAUAACAAACAUUAAUAAAUUUAUGACCAAAAAAAAAUUCGAUGAUUAAUAAAUAAAUCCACAUACAUAAUAGUAACUAAUUCCAUUUUCAAGAAGUGGUCCAUGCUCUCUUAGAAACACCGUUCAAAACAUCUAGUACCUAUUGCUAGUUGAACAUAAGAACUCUAAGAACUCUACGGAGAGUAGAAGACUUUCUUUUGAGCUUUCAUCAAUGGCAGAGCCCUCAGGAGAGUGUAAGAAACCGCUUUCCUGGUCACCCUAGAACUCUUUCUGAACAAGAGCCCCAAGGAAAAAGAACUAAACAAGUGCUCUAGCAAAACGAAAAUAGUGAGGCAGAAAAUACUAAUGAAAGCAAUGAGACCAACAACAUUCAUUAGAAUUAUUUCUCUGCAUUUGAAAGCACAGAUGUUGGGAUUCAACAUGCUUACAACGAAGAAGGCGGAAGUGGUGAUCAAGCAAGGACGGGUGAAAACCACAACAUUUCUCGCAAUAGAUUUUAUGCAGAAAACAGCCAUCGGGUUGGGAUUAUCAAUGUUGGCAACAAGAACUACAAGAAGUCGAGCGUACCAUUUCUUUUCGGUCUUCUUAUUCUUCUUGUUCAAGCUUUAUUUUACAUUUUAUUUUAUAUGUUAACGAUGAGUAAGCAAAACAAAAAAUGAAGCAAGUGGCUUGAGUGAAAAAGAAGGAACGACCAAGAAGAAAAAGAAGAAGAGAAAAGUCAAUAAGUGAGAAAGAAAGGUGCGGCUUGGAGUUUCCUGUACUAUUAUGGAGCGGAAGGGUUUGCAGAUGUAUGGUCUUCUUAUAUGCAAACUUUUCUUUGCGUUCCUUUCUCUGAAUAUGAAUCGUAUUUAUAUAUAUAUUUAUGUAUUUCUUCUUCUUCUACUUGCCAUAAGUAUAUUGAUAUAUGCUGAGUAAGUAUUGUAUAUUUUUCUUCUUGUGUA
Molecule: long non-coding RNA, 1278 nt
Organism: Prunus persica (peach)
Lineage: Eukaryota; Viridiplantae; Streptophyta; Magnoliopsida; Rosales; Rosaceae
Exons: 2
Source: RefSeq, a predicted model, not a curated record